UGGGGAAUUUUCCGCAAUGGGCGAAAGCCUGACGGAGCAAUACCGCGUGAAGGAAGACGGCCUAUGGGUUGUAAACUUCUUUUUCAGGGAGGAACUCAAUGACGUGUACCUGAAGAAUAAGCAUCGGCUAACUCCGUGCCAGCAGCCGCGGUAAGACGGAGGAUGCAAGUGUUAUCCGGAAUCACUGGGCGUAAAGCGUCUGUAGGUGGUUUAAUAAGUCGACUGUUAAAUCUUGAGGCUUAACCUCAAAAUCGCAUUCGAAACUAUUAGACUUGAGUAUAGUAGAGGUAAAGGGAAUUUCCAGUGGAGCGGUGAAAUGCGUAGAUAUUGGAAAGAACACCGAUGGCGAA
RNAcentral lists this ribosomal RNA (350 nucleotides) under uncultured bacterium. RNAcentral describes it as "bacterial SSU rRNA". It matches the Rfam family "Bacterial small subunit ribosomal RNA", at positions 355 to 719 of the family's 1533-position model. The record is from RNAcentral.